RNAcentral lists this ribosomal RNA (287 nucleotides) under uncultured bacterium. Its description in RNAcentral is "partial 16S ribosomal RNA". It matches the Rfam family "Bacterial small subunit ribosomal RNA", at positions 309 to 523 of the family's 1533-position model. The record is from RNAcentral.
UUCACAGGAAACAGGCUAUGACCAUGAUUACGCCAAGCUUGGUACCGAGCUCGGAUCCACUAGUAACGGCCGCCAGUGUGCUGGAAUUCGGCUUCCUACGGGAGGCAGCAGUGAGGAAUUUUGCGCAAUGGGGGAAACCCUGACGCAGCAACGCCGCGUGAGUGAUGAAGGCCUUAGGGUCGUAAAGCUCUGUCAGGUGGGAAGAACCCACUAUGUAAGAAACGACAUAGUGCUGACGGUACCACCGAAGGAAGCACCGGCUAACUCCGUGCCAGCAGCCGCGGUAA